GCGAGAGUGGCGGAACUGGCAGACGCGCUGGAUUUAGGUUCCAGUACCUUCGGGUGUGCAGGUUCGAUUCCUGUCUCUCGCAC
Molecule: transfer RNA, 83 nt
Filed under: Thalassoglobus neptunius
Lineage: Bacteria; Pseudomonadati; Planctomycetota; Planctomycetia; Planctomycetales; Planctomycetaceae
Also listed under: 1 other name
Description: Planctomycetes bacterium KOR42 tRNA-Leu
Rfam family: tRNA
About the family: Transfer RNA (tRNA) molecules are approximately 80 nucleotides in length. Their secondary structure includes four short double-helical elements and three loops (D, anti-codon, and T loops).
Source: RNAcentral